GUAUAUCAAGACUUGGGUCCCCCAGAACUACUAUUCCAGCUCAAAUGUUUGCUUGCCAUUCAUUAGCUGGGUGGCCUUCAACAAGUAACAUAACGUCUUUGAGCCUCUUCCUCAUCCAAGAACUGGAGAAAUUAGGCUGGGUGCCAACUAAAGUUGCUUCUAACUCUAAAUGUUAUAAUCCUACUUCCCAUAAGAUCAGUCCCAGCCCAAUCAAUGUUUCUUUUGCAUUCCUCCUGUUCUUAGUUUAAAAAACAUAUAGUCAUUGAUCCUCAUUACUCAUGGAUUCCAUAUUUGUGAAUUUACCUACUGGCUAGAAUUUAUUUGUAACCUUCACACCAGUACUUAUAGCACCUUCAUGGUCAUUCAAAAACAUGCAGAGACUGGCAAAAAGUCUAAGCCACCUGAAAUGCACGUUUUCAACUGAGGUCAAAGGUCCAGUACAUGGAAGCCACAGUGAUAUCCUGUACACCUGAGAAGAAGGGGAAAAUGACAGGAAAAUAAACUUCAUCUAUUGAUGAAGGAAACAGAUGAAGGAAAAAGUCUCUAAGGCCAAAGUCUCUACCAUGAGCAGCUAAGAAGAGGAGAAAUAAAGAAUUCUGAGGCUCAAACAAAGGGUGAUACUCCUAAUGCAUCCAGCAGCUCUUAAGUACUCUAUCACAAUACAUGCCUACCAUAAAGUAAAAAUAGUCCUGCUAGUUAUGUUCUAAAGGAACUUGUCAAAUGGUCCUCAUUGCAUGAAUACCUAUAAUGGAAAUUUGAGUGAAAUAACUACUUCUGAGAAAAGGAAUCAUAAAACACACCAUUAAGAAAGAAAGAAAGAAAGAAAGAAAGAAAGAAAGAAAGAAAGAAAGAAAGAAAGAAAUCUAAAGAGUGACAUCAGUAUGUCAGAGAACACCAUGCCCUCCCAGAGGCACAGUUCAGGAAUUCUCCAGGUCAAAUAUUGAAAAUGCAUGUGCAGGAUAAACAUGGCAAAAGAAAAAAAAAAAAAGCCAACAAAAAGCAAAAGACAUACUGUGUUUCUGUUGUCAUCAUUGAUCAAUUAAAAGAUCCUCUAAAUUCCUGGAAGAUAAGCAUUUGGCCUUUCCUCUCUAUAUCACUAGCAACUAGCAUGGUAGACAUACCAGCUGUGCAGUGAAUUUCUGCUGAAU
This is a long non-coding RNA of Suricata suricatta (meerkat), 1148 nucleotides long. RefSeq lists it as uncharacterized. NCBI's taxonomy places the organism in Eukaryota, Metazoa, Chordata, Mammalia, Carnivora, Herpestidae. The transcript has 3 exons. The record is from RefSeq and is a predicted model, not a curated record.